RNAcentral lists this ribosomal RNA (324 nucleotides) under uncultured bacterium. RNAcentral describes it as "bacterial SSU rRNA". It matches the Rfam family "Bacterial small subunit ribosomal RNA", at positions 29 to 334 of the family's 1533-position model. The record is from RNAcentral.
AACGAACGCUGGCGGAGUGCUUCAGACAUGCAAGUCGUACGAGAAACUCUCCUUCGGGAGAGGAGUACAGUGGCGCACGGGUGAGUAACGCGUGGAUAAUCUGCCUUCGGGUUUGGGACAACUCCGGGAAACUGGAGCUAAUACCGAAUGAGACCACAGAGCCUCCGGGUUCAGUGGUCAAAGAUGGCCUCUUCUUGAAAGCUAUCGCCCGAAGAUGAGUCCGCGUCCCAUUAGCUUGUUGGUGAGGUAACGGCUCACCAAGGCACCGAUGGGUAGCUGGUCUGAGAGGAUGAUCAGCCACACUGGAACUGAGACACGGUCCAG